Long non-coding RNA from Rhinichthys klamathensis goyatoka, 1210 nucleotides. RefSeq lists it as uncharacterized. The transcript has 3 exons. The record is from RefSeq and is a predicted model, not a curated record. Lineage: Eukaryota; Metazoa; Chordata; Actinopteri; Cypriniformes; Leuciscidae.
GAUCAGGGGCUCGUUCUUCGUACGUCGCUAACUCAGUUAGCUGGAUUUGAUUGUUGACGAUUUGGCAUGAUCUUGGAUCGUUUGGUUCUUCGAAGCUCAUCCUAGACUUGCUGUCAUAGCAACAGGCUUCCCUAACGUGAUUGGUGCCAUAGACUGCACACACGUCCCCAUCAAGGCCCCACCAGGGCCCAAUGAAGGGGAUUUUGUGAACCGAAAGGGGGUUCACAGUGUAAAUGUGCAGGCAAGUUACUAUUACAAUUUAUAAUAUUCCAGAUUAGUAAUAUAUUACAUAAAAAAAAUCAAUGUAAUCAAAAAGUAUGCAGAUGACUGACUAAAAUCUCUUAGAUGGUGUGUGACUAUGUUCCAUAUAACAAAUGUGGAAGCAAAAUGGCCAGGAUCAGUGGAUGACUCAAGAAUUUUCAGAGAGUCACAUUUAUGCACAUUAUUUGAACGUGGGAAUUUUGACGGGGUCCUGCUUGGUGACCGGGGCUAUGCCUGCAGGCAGUACUUCAUGACGCCAUUCCCUGACCCAAACCCUGGACCACAAACCCGUUACAAUGCAGCUCUAGCCAGGACAAGGGCACGCAUUGAAAUGACCUUUGGGCAACUAAAGGAAAGAUUUCAGUGUCUGAAGGGUCUGAGGGUUGCACCUGACAGGGCCUGUGACAUAAUUGUUGCAUGUGCCAUAUUGGAUAACAUUGCCACUAUCAGAAAGGAGAGGACCCCUGUGGUGGGGGUGCAGCCUGAUGAUGACCUCCAGCCAGUGCACUUGGACCAACCUAGUGGCAGAGCUGCACGGGACAGAAUUGUGGAAUACCAUUUUUGAAUGUGUAAUAAAAGACAAGACAAAAAUGCUUAGUUCCUGGAGUUUUAUUUAAACAAUUCUUUAUAAAGAAAAGCCAGCAAGUCAUCCUUUGCCUGCAAUAAGAGAUAGUUAUGUAAAGUCAGCAAUACUACUAUGUGUCAAAUGAUGUAUUAGCACUUACUCUGAAGGUCCUUUUGAAGCAACUCUCUCUAGUGCAAUUUUUCUCUUUUUCAAGUUGUCAAGUUCAAUUUCUCCUCUUAAUUUGUGUUUUUUCAGGUCAAAAUACUCGAUUUUUUUGUUGAAGAUGCCGUUUAUAUAGGGAACGGAUGUCACCCUGUGUCAUUUUGUGAAAGAAAAAGGGUCAAAACAUGCCACAUGCAACAAAAGUAAAAAGUAAAAGUACAA